CAAAGUCUUCAGAAAUGCUGUUUUAGCCCGGGACAGAUUUUCCAUGCAGCAGUUUUGGUCCUUAGGCGUGUACACUCCUUUUCCUUUCUUCGUGAGCUUUCUUUUGCGUCAAGUAAGCCAAAAAAUGCUGAAUUUUGCAUCAUUUAUACCUGAAACUUUACUAAUCAUGUUCGUUAGCUCAUUUACAGGAAAAAGGACUAAAAGUGCAUGAAAUAUAUAAUUUGUUCUCAGAACUAGGCUAAAAUAUGGGCAAAAUAUAUUGAUAUAGGCGUGUAAAUUCACCUAUCAUCACCUGUGGGCUCCCCAUUCGACCCGUCUUAAAACACGGACCAAGGAGUCUGACAUGUGUGCGUGUCAACGGGCGAGUAAACCCGUAAGGCGCAAGGAAGCUGAUUGGUGGGAUCCCCCCGAGGGGUGCACCGCCGACCGACCUUGAUCUUCUGAGAAGGGUUCGAGUGUGAGCAUACCUGUCGGGACCCGAAAGAUGGUGAACUAUGCCUGAGCGGGGCGAAGCCAGAGGAAACUAUGGUGGAGGCCCGCAGCGAUACUGACGUGCAAAUCGUUCGUCUGACUUGGGUAUAGGGGCGAAAGACUAAUAUAACCGUCUAGUAGCUGGUUCCCUCCGAAGUUUGACUCAGGAUAGCUGGAGCUCGCGUGCGAGUUCUAUCGUGUAAAGCCAAUGAUUAGAGGCCUCGGGGAUGUAACGCCCUCAAACUAUUCUCAAACUUUAAAUAGGUAGGAUAGCGCAACUGCUUUAUUGAGCCGCGCCACGGAAUCAAGAGCUCCGAGUAGGCCAUUUUUGGUAAGCAGAACUGGCAAUGUGGGAUGAACCGGAAGCCGGGUUACGGUGCCAAACUGCGCGCUAACCUAGAUCCCACAAAGGGUGUUGGUCGAUUAAGACAGCAGGACGGUGGUCAUGGAAGUCGAAAUCCGCUAAGGAGUGUGUAACAACUCACCUGCCGAAUCAUCUAGCCUCGAAAAUGGAUGGCGCUUAAGCGCGAGACCUACACCGGCCGUCGGGGCAAGUGCCAGGCCCUGAUGAGUAGGAGGGCGUGGCGGUCGCUGCAAAACCUUGGGCGAGAGACCGGGCGGAGCGGCCGUCGGUGCAGAUCUUGGUGGUAGUAGCAAAUAUUCAAAUGAGAACUUUGAAGGCCGAAGAGGGGAAAGGUUCCAUGUGAACAGAAUUUGCACAUGGGUUAGUUCAUCCUAAGGGUCGGGGAAAGCCCGACAGAUAGCGCGUUUCGCGCGAGCUCCGAAAGGGAAUCGGGUUAAAAUUCCUGAACCGGGAUGUGGCGGUCGACGGCAACGUUAGGAAGUCCGGAGACGUCGGCAGGAGCCUCAGGAAGAGUUAUCUUUUCCGUUUAACAGCCUGCCCACCCUGGAAUCGGCUCAGCCGGAGGUAGGGUCUAGCGGCUGGUUGAUUCAACCCAGUACGAGAGGAACCGUUGAUUCACACAAUUGGUCAUCGUGCUUUGUUGAAAAGCCAGUGGCGCGAAGCUACCGUGUGCUGGAUUAUGACUGAACGCCUCUAAGUCAGAAUCCGGGCUAGAAGCGAUGCAUGUGCCAGCCGUCCGCUUGCCGACCCGCAGUAGGGGCCUCGGCCCCCAAGGGCACGUGUCAUUGGCUAAGCCGCCGCGGCGGAAGGGUCGCGGCGGCCGCCUUGAAGUACAAUUUCCAUCAAGCGGCGGGCAGAAUCUUUUGCAGACAACUUAAAUGUGCGACGGGGUAUUGUAAGUGGCAGAGUGGCCUUGCUGCCACGAUCCACUGAGAUUCAGCCCUUUGUCGCUCCGGUUCGUCCCUCCCCAUCCAAUCCAACCACCCUGCCGCCCAUCUCCAAAGGAGGUUCGUGCAUUCGUCCUUGAAAAAUCCCACCAAGUGCUGCGAGCUCACCUCACCCGAGUUAGCCAAGCGUCGCGUGCGUUCCAUCCCAAACAGUUAAGCAUACGAUAUCAAGUGGCCUUUCGUGAAAAACAACGGCAUCGCAACUGGAGGAUUUUCGCGAUUCGGAGUGCGACAUAAGGUCUCAGCGAAGCGCCGAGAACAAAGUCGGUGCGUGGAGCCAUGCCGCCAUUAGAGGUUUUUGUGACCGUCGAGUGCAAUGCUAGAGACGCCUCCAAUGACGAACGCCGACGGACGUAUAGUGGCCAGCCAUGGUGGUGUCUUUGUCAAGUUUGAUAUCCGUGCACCGUGGCACCAAGGCAGCUUGGCACCGUGGCGCCAUGGCACCAAGUCACCGUGGCGACAUGGCACCAAGGCACCAAGGCACCAUGGCUCCGUGGCGCCAUGGAACCAAGGCACCAAGGCCCCAAGGCACCGUGGCACCAUGGCAUCGUGGCGCCAUGGCACCAUGGCACCAAGGCACCGUGGCGCCAUGGCACCAAGUCACCAAGGCACCAAGGCUCCAUGGCGCUAUGGCACCUAGGCACCUUGGCGCCAUGGCACCUUGCAUACUCAUUUUUCUACAUAUCCGCUCUAAUUUUUUUAUUUUAAAUAUAUUUCGUUGUUACCUCAUAUGUCGUGGGGGUUUUCGUAAUGUCCCGUCGCCUUCUUUUCAAAUUUUUAUUUAAUAUCCUUAAAUUUAAAUAUUUUAUAUCGUUACGUAAUUCGUACAAAUGCGCACUCAAUUGUUGGUUUAAGGCUACUUCAUUCUAAUAUGCAUAUUUUGGGGUUGUCAUUUAUCCGUUGCAAUCUGGGCGAUUUUCCUAAUGACCCCACGUUAUUUUU
Molecule: ribosomal RNA, 2724 nt
Filed under: Capsicum baccatum
Lineage: Eukaryota; Viridiplantae; Streptophyta; Magnoliopsida; Solanales; Solanaceae
Description: eukaryotic LSU rRNA
Rfam family: Eukaryotic large subunit ribosomal RNA (bases 1-1796)
Source: RNAcentral